RNAcentral lists this unclassified non-coding RNA (339 nucleotides) under soil metagenome. RNAcentral's name for it is "partial contains 5.8S ribosomal RNA, internal transcribed spacer 2, and large subunit ribosomal RNA". The stretch from base 1 to 120 matches the Rfam family "5.8S ribosomal RNA", at positions 35 to 154 of the family's 154-position model. The record is from RNAcentral.
GAUGAAGAACGCAGCGAAAUGCGAUAACUAAUGUGAAUUGCAGAAUUCAGUGAAUCAUCGAGUCUUUGAACGCACAUUGCGCCCCCUGGUAUUCCGGGGGGCAUGCCUGUCCGAGCGUCAUUGCUGCCCUCAAGCACGGCUUGUGUGUUGGGCUCCGUCCCCCCGGGGACGGGCCCGAAAGGCAGCGGCGGCACCGAGUCCGGUCCUCGAGCGUAUGGGGCUUUGUCACCCGCUCUGUAGGCCCGGCCGGCGCCAGCCGACAACCCAUCAUCCUUCUCAGGUUGACCUCGGAUCAGGUAGGGAUACCCGCUGAACUUAAGCAUAUCAAUAAGCGGAGGA